RNAcentral lists this ribosomal RNA (502 nucleotides) under uncultured bacterium. RNAcentral's name for it is "partial 16S ribosomal RNA". It matches the Rfam family "Bacterial small subunit ribosomal RNA", at positions 28 to 523 of the family's 1533-position model. The record is from RNAcentral.
GAUGAACGCUAGCGGCAGGCCUAACACAUGCAAGUCGAGGGGUAGCAGGAUUAAGCUUGCUUAAUUGCUGACGACCGGCGCACGGGUGCGUAACGCGUAUGCAACCUACCUUAUACUGGGGUAUAGCCCGGAGAAAUUCGGAUUAAUCCCCCAUAGUACUAAUGAAUCGCAUGGUUUAUUAGUUAAAGCAUUGCGGUAUAAGAUGGGCAUGCGUCCUAUUAGCUAGAUGGUGAGGUAACGGCUCACCAUGGCUACGAUAGGUAGGGGGCCUGAGAGGGUGGUCCCCCACACUGGUACUGAGAAACGGACCAGACUCCUACGGGAGGCAGCAAUGAGGAAUAUUGGUCAAUGGGCGCAAGCCUGAACCAGCCAUGCCGCGUGCAGGAAGAAUGCCUAUGGGUUGUAAACUGCUUUUAUUUGGGAAUAAACCUCUUUACGUGUAGAGAGCUGAAGGUACCAAAUGAAUAAGCACCGGCUAACUCCGCGCCAGCAGCCGCAGUAA